AGAGAGAGUUGAGCAACACGAGAGCCACCAUGUAGCCCGUGGUGCUGGGCUCCCCAAAGGGCAAGGGCAGGCAGAGGGGAGAGGCAUUGUACUUACUGCCUCCUAGCAAGGGGAUUGUGGCAAUGGUCAGGGCCAACAGGACACAUAGCAAAACGAUCGCUCUCAGGCUAAAAAGGGGAGCUUUCACUUCAAACUUCGAAGAGCACUUGACAGAAAAACCUCGUUCCAGCGCUGCCAGAGUGAGCAGGAAGAUCGACGAUUCGGAAGCAAAAAUGGACAGGAAGCCAACGAUUUGGCAGCCGAUUCCGUCUUCCCACCACGCACCGUGCUGAGCAAAACGGCCAAAAGUGAAUGCAUCCACGGCAGCCAGCACAGCACUGGAGACCCCCAUGAGAAUGUCCACUACCGCGAUUACCCCAAUUAGCAGCUUUAUGGAAGAGAUGUACAGAGGAGUUCUGAACACGGUCAAAGCCACCAAGGCAUUGCAGGAAAGCGCCAGUACUGCCGUGGUCCACACCCCGAUUCGGAUCAGCCAGCUACCAAAUAGGUGCUCACAGGGCUUGAAGGGACCUGAGCAGGGAAGGAAGAGAGAGAGGUUGUAUCAGAUUGGACUGGCAGAUGUAGCAAACUUGCCAAGAGACGGAGGUCAGUAACCACCAUUGUAACCACGGUGCCCGCGAGCCUCGCUCCUCUUUCUUAAACCAGUGGGAGGGUCUGCCUUGGAGAUUCUGUGGCACUGACCCACUGAUGCCCCAGGUUCUUGUGUUUCCAGAAGAUGUAUAGAAAAAUAAAAAGGGGAAAACUUC
RNAcentral lists this long non-coding RNA (806 nucleotides) under Mus musculus (house mouse). RNAcentral's name for it is "long non-coding RNA chr10:115452531-115453337". Lineage: Eukaryota; Metazoa; Chordata; Mammalia; Rodentia; Muridae. The record is from RNAcentral.